RNAcentral lists this ribosomal RNA (301 nucleotides) under uncultured bacterium. RNAcentral describes it as "partial 16S ribosomal RNA". It matches the Rfam family "Bacterial small subunit ribosomal RNA", at positions 509 to 807 of the family's 1533-position model. The record is from RNAcentral.
CAGCAGCCACGGGAAUACGUAGGUGGCAAGCGUUAUCCGGAAUUAUUGGGCGUAAAGCGCGCGUAGGCGGUUUUUUAAGUCUGAUGUGAAAGCCCACGGCUCAACCGUGGAGGGUCAUUGGAAACUGGAAAACUUGAGUGCAGAAGAGGAAAGUGGAAUUCCAUGUGUAGCGGUGAAAUGCGCAGAGAUAUGGAGGAACACCAGUGGCGAAGGCGACUUUCUGGUCUGUAACUGACGCUGAUGUGCGAAAGCGUGGGGAUCAAACAGGAUUAGAGACCCCAGUAGUCCCUGUCUCUUAUAC